RNAcentral lists this ribosomal RNA (810 nucleotides) under uncultured marine bacterium. RNAcentral describes it as "bacterial SSU rRNA". It matches the Rfam family "Bacterial small subunit ribosomal RNA", at positions 369 to 1171 of the family's 1533-position model. The record is from RNAcentral.
CAAUGGGCGAAAGCCUGACGCAGCCAUGCCGCGUGUGUGAAGAAGGCCUUCGGGUUGUAAAGCACUUUCAAUUGGGAGGAAAGGCUCACGACUAAUACUCGUGAGCUGUGACGUUACCUUUAGAAGAAGCACCGGCUAACUCCGUGCCAGCAGCCGCGGUAAUACGGAGGGUGCGAGCGUUAAUCGGAAUUACUGGGCGUAAAGCGCGCGUAGGUGGUCUGUUAAGUCGGAUGUGAAAGCCCCGGGCUCAACCUGGGAAUUGCAUCCGAUACUGGAUGACUAGAAUGCGGGAGAGGGAGGUAGAAUUCCAUGUGUAGCAGUGAAAUGCGUAGAUAUAUGGAGGAAUACCAGUGGCGAAGGCGGCCUCCUGGCUCGACAUUGACGCUGAGGUGCGAAAGCGUGGGGAGCAAACGGGAUUAGAUACCCCGGUAGUCCACGCCGUAAACGAUGUCUACUAGCUGUAGGGGUACUUGAGACCUUUGUAGCGCAGCUAACGCAAUAAGUAGACCGCCUGGGGAGUACGGCCGCAAGGUUAAAACUCAAAUGAAUUGACGGGGGCCCGCACAAGCAGUGGAGCAUGUGGUUUAAUUCGAUGCAACGCGAAGAACCUUACCAGGCCUUGACACCCCCGGAACUUUCUAGAGAUAGAUUGGUGCCUUCGGGAACCGGGUGACAGGUGCUGCAUGGCUGUCGUCAGCUCGUGUCGUGAGAUGUUGGGUUAAGUCCCGUAACGAGCGCAACCCUUGUCCUUAGUUGCCAGCACAUAAUGGUGGGAACUCUAAGGAGACUGCCGGUGACAAACCGGAGGAA